AUUGAACGCUGGCGACAGGCCUAACACAUGCAAGUCGAGCGAGCGGCGGACGGGUGAGUAAUGUAUGGGGACUGCCCGAUAGAGGGGGAUAACUACUGGAAACGGUAGCUAAUACCGCAUACUAUCGGAUAACCCAUAUGGGAUUAGCUAGUAGGUGAGGUAAUGGCUCACCUAGGCGACGAUCCCUAGCUGGUCUGAGAGGAUGAUCCGCAACACUGGGACUGGGACACGGCCCAGACUCCUACGGGGGGAGCGGUGGGGAAUAUUGCACAAUGGGCGCAAGCCUGAUGCAGCCCUGCCGCGUGUAUGAAGAGGGCCCUAGGGGUGUAAAGUACUUUCGGUCGGGAGAGGUUACCGACAGAAGAAGCACCGGCUAACUCCGUGCCAGCCGCCGCGGUAAAC
RNAcentral lists this ribosomal RNA (402 nucleotides) under uncultured bacterium. Its description in RNAcentral is "partial 16S ribosomal RNA". It matches the Rfam family "Bacterial small subunit ribosomal RNA", at positions 30 to 525 of the family's 1533-position model. The record is from RNAcentral.